CUUCACCGAACCGAGCCACAACGGAUCGCCCUCGCCGCGAUCCUGACCGUAAGUGGCCAGCAGCGCCUGCGCCUC
This 75-nucleotide antisense RNA is filed under the name Streptomyces chrestomyceticus JCM 4735. RNAcentral's name for it is "ASpks TB sRNA". It matches the Rfam family "ASpks TB sRNA". Lineage: Bacteria; Bacillati; Actinomycetota; Actinomycetes; Kitasatosporales; Streptomycetaceae. The record is from RNAcentral.